Molecule: ribosomal RNA, 433 nt
Filed under: uncultured bacterium
Lineage: Bacteria
Description: partial 16S ribosomal RNA
Rfam family: Bacterial small subunit ribosomal RNA
Source: RNAcentral
AGCGAACGCUGGCGGCAGGCUUAACACAUGCAAGUCGAGCGGGCACUUCGGUGUCAGCGGCAGACGGGUGAGUAACACGUGGGAACGUACCCUUUGGUUCGGAAUAACGCUGGGAAACUAGCGCUAAUACCGGAUACGCCCUUUUGGGGAAAGGCUUGCUGCCGAAGGAUCGGCCCGCGUCUGAUUAGCUAGUUGGUGGGGUAAUGGCCUACCAAGGCGACGAUCAGUAGCUGGUCUGAGAGGAUGAUCAGCCACACUGGGACUGAGACACGGCCCAGACUCCUACGGGAGGCAGCAGUGGGGGAUAUUGGAAAGUGGGCGCAGGCCUGAUCCAGCCAUGCCGCGUGAGUGAUGAAGGCCUUAGGGUUGUAAAGCUCUUUUGUCCGGGACGAUAAUGACGGUACCGGAAGAAUAAGCCCCGGCUAACUUCGUG